AGAGUCCGCUAAAAGACUCUGUAUCUGCGUGUUAAUAGCGUAUCCUAUGGCCUGGGAACGUGGUUAGUGAAUC
This 73-nucleotide non-coding RNA is filed under the name unclassified sequences. RNAcentral describes it as "L13-Bacteroidia ribosomal protein leader". It matches the Rfam family "L13-Bacteroidia ribosomal protein leader". The record is from RNAcentral.